RNAcentral lists this long non-coding RNA (265 nucleotides) under Vigna radiata. RNAcentral's name for it is "long non-coding RNA (VRAD_LNC006012)". Lineage: Eukaryota; Viridiplantae; Streptophyta; Magnoliopsida; Fabales; Fabaceae. The record is from RNAcentral.
CGUGCAACAGAUGCAGAUGUAGUGGAACUAGAGUGCUGACGAUCCUCAUACCAUCUAAGAAAUUUGUUGAAGACUGUAGGGUUGUCUACAGUAUUUGAUGAAGUAGGAUGGUCUGCAGACGGUGAUUGGGGAGGUCGAGGAGGUGGAUCAGAAUUAACCACUGCUACAGAUCGAGGAGGGCGUCCAUGAAGUGCAUAACAUCUAUCAAUUCUAUGGCCUAGCUUGCCACAAUGGUCACAUUUUGGUCGUCCUCUACCUGGCUUGC